GACGAACGCUGGCGGCGUGCUUAACACAUGCAAGUCGAACGGAAAGGCCCUGCUUUUGUGGGGUGCUCGAGUGGCGAACGGGUGAGUAACACGUGAGUAACCUGCCCUUGACUUUGGGAUAACUUCAGGAAACUGGGGCUAAUACCGGAUAGGAGCUCCUGCUGCAUGGUGUGGGUUGGAAAGUUUCGGCGGUUGGGGAUGGACUCGCGGCUUAUCAGCUUGUUGGUGGGGUAGUGGCUUACCAAGGCUUUGACGGGUAGCUGGCCUGAGAGGGUGACCGGCCACAUUGGGACUGCGAUACGGCCCAGACUCCUACGGGAGGCAGCAGUGGGGAAUAUUGCACAAUGGGCGGAAGCCAGAUGCAGAAACGUCGCGUGCGGGAUGACGGCCUUCGGGUUGUAAACCGCUUUCGCAUGUGAUGAAGCGUGAGUGACGGUAAUGGGUAAAGAAGCAACGGCUAACUACGUG
RNAcentral lists this ribosomal RNA (468 nucleotides) under uncultured bacterium. Its description in RNAcentral is "partial 16S ribosomal RNA". It matches the Rfam family "Bacterial small subunit ribosomal RNA", at positions 28 to 507 of the family's 1533-position model. The record is from RNAcentral.